UGCGAUGACUGCCUGUUACAGUAAUGUAAUGAAUAUUAUUGAGCAAGCUCUCGUCGCAUC
RNAcentral lists this microRNA precursor (60 nucleotides) under Pristionchus pacificus. Its description in RNAcentral is "microRNA ppc-mir-8259 precursor". The record is from miRBase by way of RNAcentral. Lineage: Eukaryota; Metazoa; Nematoda; Chromadorea; Rhabditida; Neodiplogasteridae.